UACAGAGGUCUCAAGCGUUGUUCGGAUUUACUGGGCGUAAAGGGCGCGCAGGCGGCUAUCCAAGUCAGGCGUGAAAGCCCCGGGCUUAACCUGGGAGGUGCGUCUGGGACUGGGUGGCUAGAGAUCGGGAGAGGAGAGUGGAAUUCCCAGUGUAGAGGUGAAAUUCGUAGAUAUUGGGAAGAACACCGGUGGCGAAGGCGGCUCUCUGGACCGAUACUGACGCUGAGGCGCGAAAGCGUGGGGAGCAAACAGG
RNAcentral lists this ribosomal RNA (253 nucleotides) under uncultured bacterium. RNAcentral describes it as "partial 16S ribosomal RNA". It matches the Rfam family "Bacterial small subunit ribosomal RNA", at positions 524 to 776 of the family's 1533-position model. The record is from RNAcentral.